This 253-nucleotide ribosomal RNA is filed under the name uncultured bacterium. Its description in RNAcentral is "partial 16S ribosomal RNA". It matches the Rfam family "Bacterial small subunit ribosomal RNA", at positions 524 to 776 of the family's 1533-position model. The record is from RNAcentral.
UACGUAGGGUCCGAGCGUUGUCCGGAAUUACUGGGCGUAAAGAGCUCGUAGGUGGUUUGUCGCGUUGUUCGUGAAAACUCACAGCUUAACUGUGGGCGUGCGGGCGAUACGGGCAGACUGGAGUACUGCAGGGGAGACUGGAAUUCCUGGUGUAGCGGUGAAAUGCGCAGAUAUCAGGGGGAACACCGGUGGCGAAGGCGGGUCUCUGGGCCGUAACUGACGCUGAGGAGCGAAAGCGUGGGGAGCGAACAGG